CACUCCUGCGGGAGGCAGCAGUGGGGAAUAUUGGACAAUGGGCGCAAGCCUGAUCCAGCCAUGCCGCGUGAGUGAUGAAGGCCCUAGGGUUGUAAAGCUCUUUCACCGGUGAAGAUAAUGACGGUAACCGGAGAAGAAGCCCCGGCUAACUUCGUGCCAGCAGCCGCGGUAAUACGAAGGGGGCUAGCGUUGUUCGGAUUUACUGGGCGUAAAGCGCACGUAGGCGGACUAUUAAGUCAGGGGUGAAAUCCCGGGGCUCAACCCCGGAACUGCCUUUGAUACUGGGAGUCUUGAGUUCGAGAGAGGUGAGUGGAAUUCCGAGUGUAGAGGUGAAAUUCGUAGAUAUUCGGAGGAACACCAGUGGCGAAGGCGGCUCACUGGCUCGAUACUGACGCUGAGGUGCGAAAGCGUGGGGAGCAAACAGGAUUAGAAACCCCGGUAGUCCC
Molecule: ribosomal RNA, 446 nt
Filed under: uncultured organism
Description: partial 16S ribosomal RNA
Rfam family: Bacterial small subunit ribosomal RNA
Source: RNAcentral